Molecule: transfer RNA, 68 nt
Filed under: Taron dubius
Lineage: Eukaryota; Metazoa; Mollusca; Gastropoda; Neogastropoda; Fasciolariidae
Description: tRNA-Leu
Rfam family: tRNA
About the family: Transfer RNA (tRNA) molecules are approximately 80 nucleotides in length.
Source: RNAcentral
CAAAUUAGCAAAAUUUAAUGCGGUUGACUUAGAAUCAGUAGACAUAGGUGAAAGUCCUUUAUUUGAUA